Molecule: non-coding RNA, 71 nt
Organism: Stegodyphus mimosarum
Lineage: Eukaryota; Metazoa; Arthropoda; Arachnida; Araneae; Eresidae
Source: Rfam
GCCUUUGUGGUGUAAAGGUAGCACACUCAGCGCGUAUUCGAGAGGUCCACGUUCGAGUCCUGGCGAGGGCA